GUGACAAACUGAGUAUAAAUGUAAGUGUAUGUAAACUUCCGUCUUCAACUGUAUUACCCUAGACUGUCCUGAUAAUCUAGUUGAGCAUUCCAGAUAAUUCCUCCAUCCCAGCAGAAAUGUCCCAUCAACAUAGUAUUAACACAGUAUAUUUGACCAUUACUACAGUCAAGUCUGUGGGUUAUGGUACUUUAAUAUCGAUGUUACCAUUUUAGUAAUCAACUUCAAAUCAAAUCAAAUUUUAUUUGUCACAUACACAUGGUUAGCAGAUGUUAAUGCGAGUGUAGUGAAAUGCUUGUGCUUCUAGUUCCGACAAUGCAGUAAUAACCAACAAGUAAUCUAACUAACUUAGCUAACUACUAAAGUUUUUUUUUAAUCCUUCUUUUGGAUGGGGGGACCGGAAACCCAGUGACAACACUGGAGUCUGUAGCUGCCAUUUUCCUGUUGGAAAGAGAAAUGGCCCUGUAUUUGCCAGAAAAGGUAACUCAUCCACUAUGGCAGAAGAGGAAGAUCCGCACUGAACAAACAAUGAGCCAUGAUUGGGUGUUGAGGGACCACUUGUCACAUUGUCAAAGUCCAACAGGAGUGCAUUCUUCAGACCAUCUGGUGCAUGGACAUCCUGUGCCAGUGUGAUCCGAGCAGGAGCGUUCAGUUGUGGAAACUACAGCACAUCGAGCCUGUGGACGGACAGACAUGAGGCGUGACAUCCUGAACAUCAGGCUCACCCCACGAGAAGCAGUGCAUGAUCAACGCCACCCUCAGCAAGGAGAUCUGCUGGAAGUGAUGUACUCUCUCAUUCUGGGGG
Long non-coding RNA from Oncorhynchus gorbuscha (pink salmon), 802 nucleotides. RefSeq lists it as uncharacterized. The record is from RefSeq and is a predicted model, not a curated record. NCBI's taxonomy places the organism in Eukaryota, Metazoa, Chordata, Actinopteri, Salmoniformes, Salmonidae. The transcript is spliced from 3 exons.